CCCUCUCCUCUGGGCUAAACCUGUAGGCUCCUCUGCCACCUCCACCACACGCACACCCCUAGCUCCAAGGGCGGGGGGAUCCAAGGACUCGGCGCCCAGCUACCCACGGGCACUACAGCCACCUCCCUCAGAAUUAGAUCAUCUUACGCUGAUUAAGAGAGUUCAAGACCAGCACAGCUUGACAGCCAGGUCUGCAUAAACAAGACGAGGGAAUUUUUAAUAGCCCGUCGGAAAGCCGGCUUGCCGGGACCCGGGGCGGGGGCCCAAAGCACCCCGGAGUCGUUCACGGCGCUGACCAGGGGCUCGGCGGAGGAAGUCUGACUUCAGCCCCAAAGAGGAUCCCUCAUCUGCCGUGAGUCAUAUGGGACUGGACUGCUUAGUCGGAAGGGCCACGUCCCACACAACUUGACUCAGCUGCGGCAUUUAGAACAUGACCGACAAGACCCAGCUUCUUCCUCCUCUUUCACGAGCGGAGCCCCGCAGCCUCCGGCGGUUUUGAGUGCCUGGUCUAUGAUUUGAGAGAAGAGCAGUCCUGUGCUGCAGCUGAAAUUCCUUGGCUUGGAAAGUGGAAAGGAAGAAUGUGUCAUCUGUGGCUGAAGGCUGCUGAGGAAGCUAAUUGCGGUACAUCCUGUGGUUAAGUUAUCAUCUUUCUCAAUGACUGAAGAUC
This is a long non-coding RNA of Pipra filicauda (Wire-tailed manakin), 667 nucleotides long. RefSeq lists it as uncharacterized. The record is from RefSeq and is a predicted model, not a curated record. NCBI's taxonomy places the organism in Eukaryota, Metazoa, Chordata, Aves, Passeriformes, Pipridae. The transcript has 5 exons.